Molecule: ribosomal RNA, 254 nt
Filed under: uncultured bacterium
Lineage: Bacteria
Description: partial 16S ribosomal RNA
Rfam family: Bacterial small subunit ribosomal RNA
Source: RNAcentral
UACGUAGGAGGCGAGCGUUGUCCGGAGUUACUGGGCGUAAAGGGUGCGCAGGCGGCGUCACGCGUGGCUAGAUGAAAUCUCCUGGCUUACCUGGGAGGGUGGUAGCCAGACGGUGGCGCUUGAGGGUCGGAGAGGGGCGUGGAAUUCCCGGUGUAGCGGUGAAAUGCGCAGAUAUCGGGAAGAACACCCGUGGCGAAGGCGGUUCUCUGGGACGGUACUGACGCUGAGACGCGAAAGCGUGGGGAGCGAACAGG